This 757-nucleotide long non-coding RNA is filed under the name Rattus norvegicus (Norway rat). RNAcentral's name for it is "long non-coding RNA NONRATT021252". Lineage: Eukaryota; Metazoa; Chordata; Mammalia; Rodentia; Muridae. The record is from RNAcentral.
UGAGAGGCUCUGCUAGAGCCCUACUGAUACAGAUGAGGAUGCUUGAAGGUACCCAUUGGGCUGAACAAGGGGACCCAAAUGGAGGAGUUAGAGAAAAGACUGAAGGAGCUGAAGGAGUUUGCAACCCCAUAGGAAGAACAACAAUAUCAACCAACCAGACCUCACCAGAGCUCCCAAGGACUAAACCACCAACCAAUAAGUAUACAUGGAAGGACCCAUGAUUCCAGCCACAUAUGUAGCAGAGGAUGUCAUUGUCCAGCAUCAAUAGGAGGAAAAGCACUUGGUCCUGUGAAGACUAAUUUCCCCACUGCAGGGUAAUGCCAGGGCGUUGAGGUGGGAGUGAGUGGGUGGGAGUGGGAGCAUCCUCAGAGAAGCAGGGGUAGUGGGGAGGAGGUAUGGGAGAGGGGAAAAGGGGGAUAGCAUUUAAAAUGUAAACACAUAAAAUAUACAAGAGAAAAAAAAAGAACUUAUGGUGAGACUUAGGCUCUAUCUACUGAUUUUAAGCCCUUAAAAAUGAUUUUGAUAGAUUUAUAGGCUCAGUUUUACUUUUAUAUUUAGAUGCAAAGUACUUUAUUUGUAUUUUUGUUGAAGUCUGAAAUGUUAACCAGCACUUGUUCGUCACGUAGAUCCACCUUACUUUCAGUUUCUCACCAUAAUCAGUUGCUAACUGUAUGAAUUCAUGCCAUUGCUCAGUGAGCAGCUCUGGGAGAUCCAUGUGUUCAUAAUCUUGACUUUGUAAGUUACUAGCUGCGUGAAC